This 1373-nucleotide ribosomal RNA is filed under the name uncultured bacterium. RNAcentral's name for it is "bacterial SSU rRNA". It matches the Rfam family "Bacterial small subunit ribosomal RNA", at positions 28 to 1381 of the family's 1533-position model. The record is from RNAcentral.
GAUGAACGCUGGCGGCGUGCCUAAUACAUGCAAGUCGAGCGAACGGACGAGAAGCUUGCUUCUCUGAUGUUAGCGGCGGACGGGUGAGUAACACGUGGAUAACCUACCCAUAAGACUGGGAUAACUUCGGGAAACCGGGGCUAAUACCGGAUAAUAUUUUGAACCGCAUGGUUCAAAAGUGAAAGACGGUCUUGCUGUCACUUAUGGAUGGAUCCGCGCUGCAUUAGCUAGUUGGUAAGGUAACGGCUUACCAAGGCAACGAUGCAUAGCCGACCUGAGAGGGUGAUCGGCCACACUGGAACUGAGACACGGUCCAGACUCCUACGGGAGGCAGCAGUAGGGAAUCUUCCGCAAUGGGCGAAAGCCUGACGGAGCAACGCCGCGUGAGUGAUGAAGGUCUUCGGAUCGUAAAACUCUGUUAUUAGGGAAGAACAUAUGUGUAAGUAACUGUGCACAUCUUGACGGUACCUAAUCAGAAAGCCACGGCUAACUACGUGCCAGCAGCCGCGGUAAUACGUAGGUGGCAAGCGUUAUCCGGAAUUAUUGGGCGUAAAGCGCGCGUAGGCGGUUUUUUAAGUCUGAUGUGAAAGCCCACGGCUCAACUCGUGGAGGGUCAUUGGAAACUGGAAAACUUGAGUGCAGAAGAGGAAAGUGGAAUUCCAUGUGUAGCGGUGAAAUGCGCAGAGAUAUGGAGGAACACCAGUGGCGAAGGCGACUUUCUGGUCUGUAACUGACGCUGAUGUGCGAAAGCGUGGGGAUCAAACAGGAUUAGAUACCCUGGUAGUCCACGCCGUAAACGAUGAGUGCUAAGUGUUAGGGGGUUUCCGCCCCUUAGUGCUGCAGCUAACGCAUUAAGCACUCCGCCUGGGGAGUACGACCGCAAGGUUGAAACUCAAAGGAAUUGACGGGGACCCGCACAAGCGGUGGAGCAUGUGGUUUAAUUCGAAGCAACGCGAAGAACCUUACCAAAUCUUGACAUCCUUUGACAACUCUAGAGAUAGAGCCUUCCCCUUCGGGGGACAAAGUGACAGGUGGUGCAUGGUUGUCGUCAGCUCGUGUCGUGAGAUGUUGGGUUAAGUCCCGCAACGAGCGCAACCCUUAAGCUUAGUUGCCAUCAUUAAGUUGGGCACUCUAAGUUGACUGCCGGUGACAAACCGGAGGAAGGUGGGGAUGACGUCAAAUCAUCAUGCCCCUUAUGAUUUGGGCUACACACGUGCUACAAUGGACAAUACAAAGGGCAGCGAAACCGCGAGGUCAAGCAAAUCCCAUAAAGUUGUUCUCAGUUCGGAUUGUAGUCUGCAACUCGACUACAUGAAGCUGGAAUCGCUAGUAAUCGUAGAUCAGCAUGCUACGGUGAAUACGUUCCCGGGUCU